This 29-nucleotide non-coding RNA is filed under the name Homo sapiens (human). The record is from RNAcentral. Lineage: Eukaryota; Metazoa; Chordata; Mammalia; Primates; Hominidae.
UAUCCCUAGAAUCAAUUCUCUCAGCAUCA